RNAcentral lists this ribosomal RNA (214 nucleotides) under uncultured bacterium. RNAcentral describes it as "partial 16S ribosomal RNA". It matches the Rfam family "Bacterial small subunit ribosomal RNA", at positions 1285 to 1500 of the family's 1533-position model. The record is from RNAcentral.
GUCUCAGUCAGAUUGCAGGCUGCAACCCGCCUGCAUGAAGUCGGAAUUGCUAGUAAUCGCGGAUCAGCAUGCCGCGGUGAAUACGUUCCCGGGCCUUGUACACACCGCCCGUCACACCAUGGGAGCCGGUAAUACCCGAAGUCAGUAGUCCAACCUCGUGAGGACGCUGUCGAAGGUAGGAUUGGCGACUGGGGUGAAGUCGUAACAAGGUAAC